GUAUUGUAUUGCAUAAUAUGCAGGAUACAUUCCACAAAACUAAGUUACAGUGUAUGUGUGUAAAGAUGCAGAACAACAGCAAGGGGACAGAGUCACCCAGGCCAUAGAACUACAGAGGGUGCACAGGUGUGAGUGGAUGUGUAAACAGAGCGUGCACAUGCCUCUGUUUGGGAGGCCAGCAACAACUCAUGUUAACAAUUCAGUAAUGAUCCUUCCGCAGGUUCACCUACGGAAA
Molecule: unclassified non-coding RNA, 235 nt
Filed under: uncultured fungus
Lineage: Eukaryota; Fungi
Description: sequence contains ITS1
Source: RNAcentral